Molecule: ribosomal RNA, 554 nt
Filed under: Limosa haemastica
Lineage: Eukaryota; Metazoa; Chordata; Aves; Charadriiformes; Scolopacidae
Description: partial 12S ribosomal RNA
Rfam family: Bacterial small subunit ribosomal RNA
Source: RNAcentral
UAAGACCAAAGCGCAACUAAGCUGUUAUAAGCUCAAGAUGUGUCUAAGACCCCCCUCAAAAUGAUCUUAGCGCUUCUGAUUUAUUUAAGCCCACGAAAGCUAAGACACAAACUGGGAUUAGAUACCCCACUAUGCUUAGCCCUAAAUCUCGAUGCCUUCCCACUACUAAAGCAUCCGCCCGAGAACUACGAGCACAAACGCUUAAAACUCUAAGGACUUGGCGGUGCCCCAAACCCACCUAGAGGAGCCUGUUCUAUAAUCGAUAACCCACGUUACACCCGACCGCUCCUUGCCUAAAGGCAGCCUACAUACCGCCGUCGCCAGCUCACCUCAUCUGAGAGGUCAAUAGUGAGCACAAUAGCCCAAACCCGCUAACAAGACAGGUCGAGGUAUAGCCCACGGAGCGGAAGAAAUGGGCUACAUUUUCUAAAAUAGAAAACCUACGGAAGGGGGUGUGAAACCGCCCCCCGAAGGCGGAUUUAGUAGUAAAGCGGGACCAUGUAAGCCCCCUUUAAAUCGGCCCUGGGGCACGUACAUACCGCCCGUCACCCUCC